AGUGAACGCUGGCGGCAGGCCUAAUACAUGCAAGUCGAACGGCAGCACAGCAGAGCUUGCUCUGUGGGUGGCGAGUGGCGGACGGGUGAGGAAUACAUGGGAAUCUGCCCAGUCGUGGGGGAUAACGUAUGGAAACGUACGCUAAUACCGCAUGCGCCCUACGGGGGAAAGUCGGGGACCGCAAGGCCUGACGCGAUUGGAUGAGCCCAUGUUCGAUUAGCUAGUUGGCGGGGUAAAGGCCCACCAAGGCGACGAUCGAUAGCUGGUCUGAGAGGAUGAUCAGCCACACUGGAACUGAGACACGGUCCAGACUCCUACGGGAGGCAGCAGUAGGGAAUAUUGGACAAUGGGCGCAAGCCUGAUCCAGCAAUGCCGCGUGCAGGAAGAAGG
This 390-nucleotide ribosomal RNA is filed under the name uncultured bacterium. RNAcentral describes it as "bacterial SSU rRNA". It matches the Rfam family "Bacterial small subunit ribosomal RNA", at positions 30 to 414 of the family's 1533-position model. The record is from RNAcentral.